GAUCCUGGCUCAGGGUGAACGCUGGCGGUAUGCCUAAGACAUGCAAGUCGAACGGGCUGUUUAUGCAGCCAGUGGCGGACGGGUGAGUAACACGUAGGUGACCUACCCCAAAGUCUGGGACAACUAGGAGAAAUCUUAGCUAAUCCUGGAUGUGGACAUCUACUUUGGUGGAUGUUUAAAGCUUCGGCGCUUUGGGAUGGGCCUGCGGCGCAUCAGGUAGUUGGUGGGGUAAUGGCCUACCAAGCCGACGACGCGUAGCUGGUCUGAGAGGACGAUCAGCCACAGGGGUACUGAGACACGGACCCCACUCCUACGGGAGGCAGCAGUUAGGAAUCUUCCGCAAUGGGCGAAAGCCUGACGGAGCGAUACCGCUUGAAGGACGAAGCCCUUCGGGGUGUAAACUUCUGAACUCGGGACGAUAAUGACGGUACCGAGGUAAUAGCACCGGCUAGCUCCGUGCUAGCAGCCGCGGUAAUACGGAGGAUGCGAGCGUUACCCGGAUUUACUGGGUGUAAAGGGCGUGUAGGCGGUCUCUCAAGUCCGAUGCUAAAGACCGAAGCUCAACUUCGGGGGUGCGUUGGAUACUGUGAGGCUAGACGGUCGGAGAGGGUAGCGGAAUUUCCGGAGUAGCGGUGAAAUGCGCAGAUACCGGAAGGAACGCCGAUAGCGAAAGCAGCUACCUGGACGAUUUGUGACGCUGAGGCGCGAAAGCGUGGGGAGCAAACCGGAUUAGAUACCCGGGUAGUCCACGCCCUAAACGAUGAGUGCUGGGUGUCCGACAUCUGUUGGGUGCCGUAGCUAACGCGUUAAGCACUCCACCUGGGAAGUACGGUCGCAAGACUGAAACUCAAAGGAAUUGACGGGGGCCCGCACAAGCGGUGGAGCAUGUGGUUUAAUUCGAAGCAACGCGCAGAACCUUACCAGGUCUUGACAUCCUGGGAACCCUGGUGAAAGCCGGGGGUGCCCGCAAGGGAGCCCAGAGACAGGUGCUGCAUGGUCGUCGUCAGCUCGUGUCGUGAGAUUGUUGGGUUAAGUCCCGCAACGAGCGCAACCCCUGUUGCUAGUUGCCAGCAGUUCGGCUGGGCACUCUAGCGAGACUGCUAACCAAAAGUAGGAGGAAAGGCGGGGGAUGACUUCUGAUCCCCAUGGGCCUUACAACCUGGGGGAACACCGUGCUUCAAUGGCUGGCCAAAAACGCUGCGACCCGGUAACGGGAAGCAAUCCCAAAACAGGC
RNAcentral lists this ribosomal RNA (1234 nucleotides) under uncultured Meiothermus sp. Its description in RNAcentral is "bacterial SSU rRNA". It matches the Rfam family "Bacterial small subunit ribosomal RNA", at positions 15 to 1283 of the family's 1533-position model. The record is from RNAcentral. Lineage: Bacteria; Thermotogati; Deinococcota; Deinococci; Thermales; Thermaceae.